CUGGACUUAUAUAAUUGAGACCCCGUUCCUACACCCUCUCGAGCUCUCUCUUUCGACACCCACAACCUCUCUCUCCUCCACAACCACCGCCACCUCCCAUGUCGUCUCCAGCGCCUCCAUCGACUCUGGCCAGUACUUCGUCGACCUCCGCCCCGACACUCCUCCUCGUCGCCGACACCGGCAUGGAUCUGGUCUGGCUUCGCUGUUCCUCCUGCAAAAGACGCGCCAAUCAGCGAGAACUACAUUGAGUCUGAGAUUUGGAUCGGGGGGAGAGAGUCUUAGUUUUACUUUUCGUAUUAGGCCGUGAAAGAGAGAGGAUGAGAC
Molecule: long non-coding RNA, 324 nt
Filed under: Rosa chinensis
Lineage: Eukaryota; Viridiplantae; Streptophyta; Magnoliopsida; Rosales; Rosaceae
Description: sRNA RchiOBHm_Chr1g0359631
Source: RNAcentral